GGACUACUAGGGUAUCUAAUCCUGUUUGCUCCCCACGCUUUCGUGUCUCAGCGUCAGUUGUCGUCCAGUAAGCCGCCUUCGCCACUGGUGUUCCUCCCAAUAUCUACGCAUUUUACCGCUACACUGGGAAUUCCGCUUACCUCUCCGACACUCAAGCCACGCAGUUUCAAAGGCGAAUACGGGUUGAGCCCGUAUCUUUUACCUCUGACUUGCAUAGCCGCCUACACACCCUUUACACCCAGUAAUUCCGGAUAACGCUUGCCACCUACGUAUUACCGCGGCUGCUGGCAC
RNAcentral lists this ribosomal RNA (291 nucleotides) under uncultured bacterium. RNAcentral's name for it is "partial 16S ribosomal RNA". The record is from RNAcentral.